RNAcentral lists this ribosomal RNA (240 nucleotides) under uncultured bacterium. RNAcentral's name for it is "partial 16S ribosomal RNA". It matches the Rfam family "Bacterial small subunit ribosomal RNA", at positions 943 to 1181 of the family's 1533-position model. The record is from RNAcentral.
GGUUUAAUUCGAUGAUACGCGAGGAACCUUACCCGGGCUUGAACUGCAGGAGAACGAUUCAGAGAUGAUGAGGUCCUUCGGGACUCCUGUGGAGGUGCUGCAUGGUUGUCGUCAGCUCGUGCCGUGAGGUGUCGGCUUAAGUGCCAUAACGAGCGCAACCCCUCUCCGUAGUUGCCAUCGGGUGAUGCCGGGCACUCUGCGGACACUGCCACCGUAAGGUGUGAGGAAAGGUGGGGGAUG